Molecule: small nuclear RNA, 103 nt
Organism: Balaenoptera musculus (blue whale)
Lineage: Eukaryota; Metazoa; Chordata; Mammalia; Artiodactyla; Balaenopteridae
Source: Ensembl
UUGCUUCAACAGCACAUAUAUUAAAAUUGGAAUGAUACAGAGAAGGUUAGCAUGCCCCCUGCACAAAGAUGACAUGCAAAUUCAUGAAGCAUUUUACACACAC